Molecule: ribosomal RNA, 428 nt
Filed under: uncultured bacterium
Lineage: Bacteria
Description: partial 16S ribosomal RNA
Rfam family: Bacterial small subunit ribosomal RNA
Source: RNAcentral
GUCGAGAAUUUUUCACAAUGGGGGAAACCCUGAUGGAGCGACGCCGCGUGGAGGAUGAAGGCCCUCGGGUUGUGAACUCCUGUCAUGCGGGAACAAGAAAGUGAAAGUACCGCAAGAGGAAGAGACGGCUAACUCUGUGCCAGCAGCCGCGGUAAUACAGAGGUCUCAAGCGUUGUUCGGAUUCAUUGGGCGUAAAGGGUGCGUAGGUGGCGAUGCAAGUCUGGUGUGAAAUCUCGGAGCUCAACUCCGAAAUUGCACCGGAUACUGCGUUGCUAGAGGAUUGUAGAGGAGAGUGGAAUUCACGGUGUAGCAGUGAAAUGCGUAGAUAUCGUGAGGAAGACCAGUUGCGAAGACGACUCUCUGGGCAAUUCCUGACACUGAGGCACGAAGGCCAGGGGAGCAAACGGGAUUAGAUACCCCUGUAGUCC